This is a long non-coding RNA of Hippocampus comes (tiger tail seahorse), 881 nucleotides long. RefSeq lists it as uncharacterized. The transcript has 2 exons. The record is from RefSeq and is a predicted model, not a curated record. NCBI's taxonomy places the organism in Eukaryota, Metazoa, Chordata, Actinopteri, Syngnathiformes, Syngnathidae.
AACACACAUUUGUAUGAAUUUAUUUUCUUCCUUACCUCAUUGAUACAGUACAUGCUUCUUCUAUUUGCAAUACCACAAUUAGCCUAUAAAUAUUUUAAAAAUAGGAUUUACCACAUCUGCAUUUCAUAUCAAUGGCAAGUUAUAAUAUUAUGCUCUUUCUGUCAAUUUAAUAUCUUAUACGACAAAGUACACAUAUUGAAAUACUUGGAAAGUAUCACACACAAUGCUUUGAAAGUUUAGUAAGGUUUCCACAUUUGUAAAUGGUUAUUUGUAGAUGAUUUAUUAUUUUGAAGUGUAUUGUAGUUGAUUUGAUAGCAAUGGUUGUGUGUUACAUGCUGCUGUCUUUUGCGCAGGCGGUGCGGUUUCGAUUCACCGCCAGUGCCCCAACACCCUGCAUGUGCCAAUCUUGGAUUAAAGAAACUGGAUGUGUUGCUUCAGGAAGGAAAUAUGCCAUGCCGGACAUAUUACGACAGGACAAAGGGGAGAUUUAGGUAGUGACUGUGGAAGGUGAUGAAUCACUCCUUGGUCACACAUCAGCCAUUUCACUGCUGCACAAAGCCUUCAGUAGCAGCCCAGGGUCAGACACUUUUUGAUGUGUGUUUGAUUUGCUAUCCGCCUCAUUUAUCUGCAGCGCAGCACAUUGCAUGUUUCCUUUAGUCCGACCAAUCCGUCCCUCUUGAACUGAGCAUUAUGCAUACUGUAUGUGUGCUUAAAAUAAAUGAUAUAGUCGUUUAGGAAGCAACCCUAACACGCUCAUGAUGUUGCAUUACACAUGGACAAAGAUGCUUUCACUGGCAGACUGUGAGGUCUGCAGAGGUGUUGUCCAGGCCUUACAUGAUGGACAGGCUGCAGCUUCUCAUUAAAGCUUGUGAACUGUGAAA